AAGACUAUACUUUCAGGGAUCAUUUCUAUAGCUUGUUACUAGAGAAGUUUAUCUGAACGUGUAGAGCACCGAGAACCUACAAAAUACCAUGAAAUGAGAAGUGAUGAUAAAGAGUGGUCCUUCACUCUUCACCUUUCAAGAAGGACAGCAUUCCCUAAAGUAUCUUGGUCAGUAAAGAAGGCUGAAGGU
Small nucleolar RNA from Gorilla gorilla gorilla (western lowland gorilla), 189 nucleotides. It matches the Rfam family "Small nucleolar RNA U3". Rfam says of the family: Small nucleolar RNAs (snoRNAs) are involved in the processing and modification of rRNA in the nucleolus. There are two main classes of snoRNAs: the box C/D class, and the box H/ACA class. U3 snoRNA is a member of the box C/D class. The record is from Rfam. Lineage: Eukaryota; Metazoa; Chordata; Mammalia; Primates; Hominidae.